UACGGAGGGUGCAAGCGUUAAUCGGUAUUACUGGGCGUAAAGCGCACGCAGGCGGUUGGAUAAGUUAGAUGUGAAAGCCCCGGGCUCAACCUGGGAAUUGCAUUUAAAACUGUCCGGCUAGAGGCUUGUAGAGGGGGGUAGAAUUCCAGGUGUAGCGGUGAAAUGCGUAGAGAUCUGGAGGAAUACCGGUGGCGAAGGCGGCCCCCUGGACAAAGACUGACGCUCAGGUGCGACAGCGUGGGGAGCAAACAGG
Molecule: ribosomal RNA, 253 nt
Filed under: uncultured bacterium
Lineage: Bacteria
Description: partial 16S ribosomal RNA
Rfam family: Bacterial small subunit ribosomal RNA
Source: RNAcentral